Molecule: transfer RNA, 99 nt
Filed under: Variovorax paradoxus
Lineage: Bacteria; Pseudomonadati; Pseudomonadota; Betaproteobacteria; Burkholderiales; Comamonadaceae
Description: tRNA-Ala
Source: RNAcentral
CCUGCCCCUGGGCCGGGUCGCAGAUGGCGCCGGUUUCGCAAGCCAGCGCAUAGAGGGCCCUCGCGCCAGCGACGUCGGUGCCGAGGCCGCCGAACAGGG